UACAGAGGGGGCGAGCGUUGUUCGGAAUUACUGGGCGUAAAGGGCGCGUAGGCGGCCCUCUAAGUCGAACGUGAAAUCCCCGGGCUCAACCCGGGAACUGCGUCCGAUACUGGAGGGCUCGAAUCCGGGAGAGGGAUGUGGAAUUCCAGGUGUAGCGGUGAAAUGCGUAGAUAUCUGGAGGAACACCGGUGGCGAAGGCGGCAUCCUGGACCGGUAUUGACGCUGAGGCGCGAAAGCCAGGGGAGCAAACGGG
Molecule: ribosomal RNA, 253 nt
Filed under: uncultured bacterium
Lineage: Bacteria
Description: partial 16S ribosomal RNA
Rfam family: Bacterial small subunit ribosomal RNA
Source: RNAcentral